Long non-coding RNA from Musa acuminata AAA Group (dessert banana), 1940 nucleotides. RefSeq lists it as uncharacterized. The transcript is spliced from 4 exons. Lineage: Eukaryota; Viridiplantae; Streptophyta; Magnoliopsida; Zingiberales; Musaceae. The record is from RefSeq and is a predicted model, not a curated record.
UCAAUCCGACCCGACCCGUUAUUAAGCCUUACUUUCGACCGCCGCGAAGUUUUGAUUCGGCUUCUCUCUUUCCUCGUCUCUUUUCUGCCUAUUCGAACCUCGGCGGUACCAAAAGAUUUCAUCUUCGCUUCCUUCUCCAUUCGCCCCAUCGAGCCGGGAGGAGCGAGCGAGAGAGGAAUACAGAGACAAUCGGCGAACCAGGGAAUCAAUCCAAACAUGAGCCGCUACGAGGGCUGCGCCGCCGUACCGUCUCGUACCGCCAUGGGCGAGGGUAACCCGCCUCCCGGAACCCUGCCCUUACCCUAACUAAAUACAGGAAACGAAGAGUAAAUCGAAGUAGCGCUGGAGAUUUAAGUCCUUUUGCAAGCGGGAAGCCCGUGAUGUUGCUGAAUUUGAUGGCCUCAAGGCCUUCGGGCAGUUCCCGCGGCGGCCAUGACGGAGGGGGAGAUCGAGGCCUGUAUCCACAAUAUUUCUGUUGCCGGCGACGGCUGCGAUCCCGCCAGAGAGUGCUGGUGGUCUUAGUUUUCCAGGUUUGGUUUGAACCACCCCUCUUGAUUUCACUUUCUCUCUUCUGUACAAUUAUCUAAGACAAAAACUCCCUUGCACGUGCUUAUAUUUGACCAUAUUUGAUCUUGUCACUCGACCACUAAUCAUGCAUCAAUAAUGAUUCUUUUUGUGUCACAAACAAGCUGUAUAAGCAAGUAAGGCAGCAUGAAUUAUGAAGUGUACUUCAUUGUUCAAGACAAUGAACCCUACGUCUCCUGAAUCAGAUGGAGGGGGCGAGCAGGCACGAGUGCAGAUUAUCAUGGCUAAUUUUCUUGCAUAUAUAUGCGUCUGUCAACCUGUCAGGACAGAUAAAGAUCGGCCUCAUCCAUUUAAUUUCCAGGCAAUUGACAGCCCACUUCGCCCUUCACACAAGAUUGAAGAUGGGUUGGAACAGCUAGAGGACCAGAUUGUUAUGCAGAGUAUUAGUGUCGACUACUCUUAUUCUCCUCUAAAGGCUUGAGGUCCAAAGUCUCUACACCAUGCAUCAUUGUUGUUGCUGAGUUUAACUUUUGAGGAGCAGGUAAUAAUGCAGUUGAUAUCUCCGAACAGGCUUUUGACCAUUGUCGGUUGGUCGUUUCUAAAGGUUGAAGAUUCGAUCAUGUCACACUCCCAAGGUACUGCUGCCCUCUGAAGCAUAUGGUUGACGUGAUGGCAUACCUCUCGCAUGAGGCUCUGCGGUCAAAUAUGGUCUCAUGAGAGAGUGUUUUAUCUUUGUAAAGCCGCAGAGGCCGAAGAAGGAUUACGCAAGGCCUGGUAAAUCUUCGGUGCCCCCAUCGCAACUUGCAGGCCAUGGUGGGGGGUCCAUUACAGGACUAUGGGCGCCAUCCUCUUCUCCAUGAGGAGGAACCUCCUUUUGCAGGUGCAUCUGAGCAGAUACACAUCGAGGGGGCAUCCGACGGCCAUCGUGCCCAUGCUAUGUGAGCAAACCAUGGCUGCGGUGGAGGCCAUGUUCACCCCUCGUCUUCGGUUCAGGGAGUUCGGGGUCCUUCUCGUAGCUAAAAGUGGUGAACAAGGGAAGGGUACUCUUGAAGAAACGCAGCCGGAGCGGAGCGCACGGGUCAAUGAUGAAGGACGUGUGUUGGUGGGUCGGACCACCGCUAAGAUCUCAAAGGACAUGGCAAUCCUUCACUGACAUGGACGGAACGUUACGCAUGCAGGGGGGCGCAACCCCACCGAACUCGAGUCCGACUCUAGUCCACUACGAGUAACACAUUUGGCACAAAGGAACGAGACCUCCUUUUGAUUGCCUUGGAGGUAUGUAUUCCACUGUUCUCACUUGUUCAUUGUUUAAUGUCCAUUACGCAGGGUGACGGAUUAUUCCCAAAUCGGAGGUGGCCUUUCUUUAUUAAUUGACAUGUUCUUUGUUUUUUAGUUGCUGCUUUCGGUUAUGUGAU